GAUGUUGGGGGCCAAAGAACUAUAAGAUCGUAUUGGAGGAAUUACUUUGAGCAAACUGAUGGCUUAGUUUGGGUAGUUGACAGUUCAGAUCUUAGAAGGUUAAAUGAUUGCAAAAUGGAACUUGAUAAUCUUUUGAAGGAAGAGAGGCUGUCUGGAGCAUCCUUGCUAAUACUAGCAAAUAAGCAAGACCUAAAAGGUGCUCUUACUCAAGAGGAAAUUGCUAAGGUAUUAAAUCUGGAGAAUAUGGACAAAACGCGACAUUGGAAAAUCAUGGGCUGUAGUGC
RNAcentral lists this unclassified non-coding RNA (284 nucleotides) under Hevea brasiliensis (rubber tree). The record is from RNAcentral. Lineage: Eukaryota; Viridiplantae; Streptophyta; Magnoliopsida; Malpighiales; Euphorbiaceae.